RNAcentral lists this ribosomal RNA (2370 nucleotides) under Streptomyces lysosuperificus ATCC 31396. Its description in RNAcentral is "bacterial LSU rRNA". It matches the Rfam family "Bacterial large subunit ribosomal RNA", at positions 592 to 2825 of the family's 2925-position model. Lineage: Bacteria; Bacillati; Actinomycetota; Actinomycetes; Kitasatosporales; Streptomycetaceae. The record is from RNAcentral.
CGUGACUGCGUGCCUUUUGAAGAAUGAGCCUGCGAGUUAGCGGUGUGUAGCGAGGUUAACCCGUGUGGGGAAGCCGUAGCGAAAGCGAGUCCGAAUAGGGCGAUUGAGUUGCACGCUCUAGACCCGAAGCGGAGUGAUCUAGCCAUGGGCAGGUUGAAGCGGAGGUAAGACUUCGUGGAGGACCGAACCCACCAGGGUUGAAAACCUGGGGGAUGACCUGUGGUUAGGGGUGAAAGGCCAAUCAAACUCCGUGAUAGCUGGUUCUCCCCGAAAUGCAUUUAGGUGCAGCGUCGUGUGUUUCUUGCCGGAGGUAGAGCACUGGAUAGGCGAUGGGCCCUACCGGGUUACUGACCUUAGCCAAACUCCGAAUGCCGGUAAGUGAGAGCACGGCAGUGAGACUGUGGGGGAUAAGCUCCAUGGUCGAGAGGGAAACAGCCCAGAGCAUCGACUAAGGCCCCUAAGCGUACGCUAAGUGGGAAAGGAUGUGGAGUCGCAGAGACAACCAGGAGGUUGGCUUAGAAGCAGCCACCCUUGAAAGAGUGCGUAAUAGCUCACUGGUCAAGUGAUUCCGCGCCGACAAUGUAGCGGGGCUCAAGCGUACCGCCGAAGUCGUGUCAUUGCAGCAAUAGGGCCAACGCCCGCUGUGAUGGGUAGGGGAGCGUCGUGUGCCGGGUGAAGCAGCAGCGGAAGCUAGUUGUGGACGGUUCACGAGUGAGAAUGCAGGCAUGAGUAGCGAUACACACGUGAGAAACGUGUGCGCCGAUUGACUAAGGGUUCCUGGGUCAAGCUGAUCUGCCCAGGGUAAGUCGGGACCUAAGGCGAGGCCGACAGGCGUAGUCGAUGGACAACCGGUUGAUAUUCCGGUACCCGCUUUGAAACGCCCAAUAUCGAAUCAGGCGAUGCUAAGUCCGUGAAGCCGUUCCGGACCCUUCGGGGAAAGGAAAGUGGUGGAGCCGACGAACCAGACUUGUAGUAGGUAAGCGAUGGGGUGACGCAGGAAGGUAGUCCAGCCCGGGCGGUGGUUGUCCCGGGGUAAGGGUGUAGGCCGAGGGGUAGGCAAAUCCGUCCCUCAUAUAAGGCUGAGACCUGAUGCCGAGCCGAUUGUGGUGAAGUGGAUGAUCCUAUGCUGUCGAGAAAAGCCUCUAGCGAGUUUCAUGGCGGCCCGUACCCUAAACCGACUCAGGUGGUCAGGUAGAGAAUACCGAGGCGUUCGGGUGAACUAUGGUUAAGGAACUCGGCAAAAUGCCCCCGUAACUUCGGGAGAAGGGGGGCCAUCACUGGUGAUCGGACUUGCUCCGUGAGCUGGGGGUGGCCGCAGAGACCAGCGAGAAGCGACUGUUUACUAAAAACACAGGUCCGUGCGAAGCCGUAAGGCGAUGUAUACGGACUGACGCCUGCCCGGUGCUGGAACGUUAAGGGGACCGGUUAGUGCACUUUCGGGUGUGCGAAGCUGAGAACUUAAGCGCCAGUAAACGGCGGUGGUAACUAUAACCAUCCUAAGGUAGCGAAAUUCCUUGUCGGGUAAGUUCCGACCUGCACGAAUGGCGUAACGACUUCUCGACUGUCUCAACCAUAGGCCCGGUGAAAUUGCACUACGAGUAAAGAUGCUCGUUUCGCGCAGCAGGACGGAAAGACCCCGGGACCUUUACUACAGUUUGAUAUUGGUGUUCGGUUCGGCUUGUGUAGGAUAGGUGGGAGACUUUGAAGCAUCAACGCCAGUUGGUGUGGAGUCGCCGUUGAAAUACCACUCUGGUCGUGCUGGAUGUCUAACCUCGGUCCGUGAUCCGGAUCAGGGACAGUGUCUGAUGGGUAGUUUAACUGGGGCGGUUGCCUCCCAAAGGGUAACGGAGGCGCCCAAAGGUUCCCUCAGCCUGGUUGGCAAUCAGGUGUUGAGUGUAAGUGCACAAGGGAGCUUGACUGUGAGACCGACGGGUCGAGCAGGGACGAAAGUCGGGACUAGUGAUCCGGCGGUGGCUUGUGGAAGCGCCGUCGCUCAACGGAUAAAAGGUACCCCGGGGAUAACAGGCUGAUCUUCCCCAAGAGUCCAUAUCGACGGGAUGGUUUGGCACCUCGAUGUCGGCUCGUCGCAUCCUGGGGCUGGAGUCGGUCCCAAGGGUUGGGCUGUUCGCCCAUUAAAGCGGUACGCGAGCUGGGUUUAGAACGUCGUGAGACAGUUCGGUCCCUAUCCGCUGUGCGCGUAGGAAUAUUGAGAAGGGCUGUCCCUAGUACGAGAGGACCGGGACGGACGAACCUCUGGUGUGCCAGUUGUCCUGCCAAGGGCAUGGCUGGUUGGCUACGUUCGGGAGGGAUAACCGCUGAAAGCAUCUAAGCGGGAAGCCUGCUUCAAGAUGAGUAUUCCCACCUCCUUGA